UACGAAGGGGGCUAGCGUUGCUCGGAAUCACUGGGCGUAAAGCGCACGUAGGCGGCUUUCUAAGUCAGGGGUGAAAUCCUGGAGCUCAACUCCAGAACUGCCUUUGAUACUGGAGAGCUUGAGUCCGGAAGAGGUGAGUGGAACUCCGAGUGUAGAGGUGAAAUUCGUAGAUAUUCGGAAGAACACCGGUGGCGAAGGCGGCCCACUGGUCCGGUACUGACGCUGAGGUGCGAAAGCGUGGGGAGCAAACAGG
RNAcentral lists this ribosomal RNA (253 nucleotides) under uncultured bacterium. RNAcentral describes it as "partial 16S ribosomal RNA". It matches the Rfam family "Bacterial small subunit ribosomal RNA", at positions 524 to 776 of the family's 1533-position model. The record is from RNAcentral.